Molecule: long non-coding RNA, 832 nt
Filed under: Populus tremula
Lineage: Eukaryota; Viridiplantae; Streptophyta; Magnoliopsida; Malpighiales; Salicaceae
Description: long non-coding RNA (PTRE_LNC000306)
Source: RNAcentral
AGCAGCCGGUUUUGACUACUCCCCUUCUUCACCAUUUUUAUUUUUUUUUUUCCAUCUUCUUCCCCUUCAACCAGCAAAUCCAAGCCCUGACCCGAAGCCACAAAAAAAUAAAAAUCCUCUCCCUUCUCCUCCAAAACCGAACAGCCCCCUCACCGUUUUCAUUUUUCUUUUCUUCCCCAAACCAGCACCACCCACAACGCCGAUCUUCCUCUCAUCAGCACCGGACCACCCCCUUCCACCUCUGUCUCUCGUCCCUGACUCUCAACCUCUCCCAAACAGCAGCAAACCGAACCAGCCUCUCAUUUUUCUUCUCCUCCCUCACCUGGCCGAACUCCAGCUCCUCUAGCAGCGGCGGUCAGAGAAAUCAACCACAGACCAGCGGCCACAGCCCCCUCGUCUCCAUCCAGUGCUUUCUCCUUCAAUCGACCGCCAUCAGCAACACCACAGACCUUCCCAUCUUCGGCCCCCCGCAGCAGCUCCAGCCUCCAUUCCUCCGCCUCAACGCCGCCAUCAACCUCGCCUCAGCAGCAGCGUCGGUCCAUCCCAUCAGCGCCGUCCACUCCAUCAACCGCAGCAGCUUCCCAGUCAUCGGCGGCCACCAAAAGAGAAGAGAAGAAAACCGAAGCCGAUCUGCCAAGAAGAAAAGACAGAAGCCGAUCUGCCAAAAAAAGGAACCGAAGCAGAUUUUAGAACAAAGACAAAAAUUAAAAUCGACUGUGUUGUGCUUUUUCUGUUAUUGUAGGUAACGGCGGUCCUCACCGCCGGCGUUGGGAGGCUGAGAAGAGGGAGUCGAUCCAGCCCCCUUGCUGUUGGGUUUUCUUGUGGCGGCGCG